Molecule: non-coding RNA, 378 nt
Organism: Pelobates cultripes (western spadefoot toad)
Lineage: Eukaryota; Metazoa; Chordata; Amphibia; Anura; Pelobatidae
Source: the annotation of a GenBank genome assembly
AGUCAGAUACACACACACACACAGUCAGAUACACACAUACAGUCAGAUAUACACACAUAGUCAGAUACACACACACACAUAGUCAGAUACACACAUACAGUCAGAUAUACACACAUAGUCAGAUACACACACAUAGUCAGAUACACACAUACAUAGUCAGAUACACAAAUACAUAGUCAGAUACACACACAUAGUCAGAUACACACAUACAGUCAGAUACACACACAUAGUCAGAUACACACACACAGUCAGAUACACACACAUAGUCAGAUACACACACACAGUCAGAUACACACACAUAGUCAGAUACACACACAUAGUCAGAUAUACACACACAGUCAGAUAUACACACAUAGUCAGAUACACACAUACAGUCAG